RNAcentral lists this transfer RNA (72 nucleotides) under Perkinsus olseni. It matches the Rfam family "tRNA". From Rfam's summary of the family: Transfer RNA (tRNA) molecules are approximately 80 nucleotides in length. Lineage: Eukaryota; Perkinsozoa; Perkinsida; Perkinsidae. The record is from Rfam by way of RNAcentral.
GACCUUGUGGUGCAAUGGAAGCGCGUCGGUUUCCGGAGCCGAAAGUCGCGGGUUCAAGUCCCACCGGGGUUA